This 497-nucleotide ribosomal RNA is filed under the name uncultured bacterium. RNAcentral describes it as "partial 16S ribosomal RNA". It matches the Rfam family "Bacterial small subunit ribosomal RNA", at positions 28 to 507 of the family's 1533-position model. The record is from RNAcentral.
GAUGAACGCUGGCGGCGUGCCUAAUACAUGCAAGUCGAGCGAACGGACGAGAAGCUUGCUUCUCUGAUGUUAGCGGCGGACGGGUGAGUAACACGUGGAUAACCUACCUAUAAGACUGGGAUAACUUCGGGAAACCGGAGCUAAUACCGGAUAAUAUUUUGAACCGCAUGGUUCAAAAGUGAAAGACGGUCUUGCUGUCACUUAUAGAUGGAUCCGCGCUGCAUUAGCUAGUUGGUAAGGUAACGGCUUACCAAGGCAACGAUGCAUAGCCGACCUGAGAGGGUGAUCGGCCACACUGGAACUGAGACACGGUCCAGACUCCGACGGGAGGCAGCAGUAGGGAAUCUUCCGCAAUGGGCGAGAGCCUGACGGAGCAACGCCGCGUGAGUGAUGAAGGUCUUCGGAUCGUAAAACUCUGUUAUUAGGGAAGAACAUAUGUGUAAGUAACUGUGCACAUCUUGACGGUACCUAAUCAGAAAGCCACGGCUAACUACGUG